Molecule: transfer RNA, 76 nt
Filed under: Escherichia coli
Lineage: Bacteria; Pseudomonadati; Pseudomonadota; Gammaproteobacteria; Enterobacterales; Enterobacteriaceae
Description: tRNA-Thr
Rfam family: tRNA
About the family: Transfer RNA (tRNA) molecules are approximately 80 nucleotides in length. Their secondary structure includes four short double-helical elements and three loops (D, anti-codon, and T loops).
Source: RNAcentral
GCUGAUAUGGCUCAGUUGGUAGAGCGCACCCUUGGUAUGGGUGAGGUCCCCAGUUCGACUCUGGGUAUCAGCACCA